RNAcentral lists this non-coding RNA (100 nucleotides) under Bacillus sp. (in: firmicutes). RNAcentral describes it as "Bacillus sp. Glycine sequence". It matches the Rfam family "Glycine riboswitch aptamer". Rfam says of the family: This family represents the bacterial glycine riboswitch. Glycine riboswitches usually consist of two metabolite-binding aptamers domains with similar structures in tandem. RNAcentral also lists the same sequence under 1 other name. Lineage: Bacteria; Bacillati; Bacillota; Bacilli; Caryophanales; Bacillaceae. The record is from RNAcentral.
AUGACGAUAAGGGGAGAGACCGCAGCAGACUAAGACUGUGUGCGGCGCCGAAGGAGCAAACAUUUGUGAAUCUCUCAGGCAAAAAGACUCUUAUUUGACG